Molecule: long non-coding RNA, 398 nt
Organism: Pipistrellus kuhlii (Kuhl's pipistrelle)
Lineage: Eukaryota; Metazoa; Chordata; Mammalia; Chiroptera; Vespertilionidae
Exons: 3
Source: RefSeq, a predicted model, not a curated record
GGGAAAACCUCACAGAUACAUGCAGAAAGAUUAAACUAGACAACCAACUUACACCACACACAAAAAUAAACUCAAAAUGAAUAAAAGACUUAAACAUGAGACAGGAAACCAUAAAAAUACUAGACGAAUCCACAGGCAGUGAAAUUUCAGAUAUAUACUGAAGCAAUUUCUUCACUGAUACUGCUCCUAUAGCAAUGGAAACUAAAGAGAAAAUAAACAAAUGGGAAUACAUCAAAAUAAAAAGCUUUUUUCACAGCAAAAGAAACCAUCAACAAAACAACAAGAAAGCCCACUGCAUGGGAGAAGAUAUUUGCCAAUAUUAUUAUCCAUAAGGGUUUAAUCUACAACGUUUUUAGGGAACUCAUACAAUUUAACAAAAGGAAGAUAAACAAUCCAAU